CCCUUAGAUGUUCUGGGCCGCACGCGCGCUACACUGUUCGACGCAGCGAGUCUUAACCUUGACCGAAAGGUUUGGGUAAUCUUCAGCAAAGUCGAACGUGAUGGGGAUCGAUCAUUGCAAUUAUUGAUCGUGAACGAGGAAUUCCUAGUAAGUGCAAGUCAUCAGCUUGCGCUGAUUACGUCCCUGCCCUUUGUACACACCGCCCGUCGCUGCAACUGAUUGGGUGACCUGGUGAACAUCUUGGACCGGUCCACUCAAUUUCGAGAGGACUGGAAAAGGCCGUAAAUCAGGUACAUCUAGAAAUUGCAAAAGUCGUAACA
Molecule: ribosomal RNA, 320 nt
Filed under: uncultured eukaryote
Lineage: Eukaryota
Description: partial 18S ribosomal RNA
Rfam family: Eukaryotic small subunit ribosomal RNA
Source: RNAcentral